CGUGUAGGCUGUUUAUUAAGUCUGAUGUGAAAGCCCUGGGCUCAACCUGGGAAGUGCAUUGGAUACUGGUAGACUUGAGUACGGGAGAGGGCAGUGGAAUUCCCAGUGUAGGAGUGAAAUCCGUAGAUAUUGGGAGGAACACCGGUGGCGAAGGCGGCUGCCUGGACCGAUACUGACGCUGAGACGCGAAAGCGUGGGGAGCAAACAG
Molecule: ribosomal RNA, 208 nt
Filed under: uncultured delta proteobacterium
Lineage: Bacteria; Deltaproteobacteria
Description: partial 16S ribosomal RNA
Rfam family: Bacterial small subunit ribosomal RNA
Source: RNAcentral